Molecule: transfer RNA, 92 nt
Filed under: Shewanella metallivivens
Lineage: Bacteria; Pseudomonadati; Pseudomonadota; Gammaproteobacteria; Alteromonadales; Shewanellaceae
Description: tRNA-OTHER
Rfam family: tRNA
About the family: Transfer RNA (tRNA) molecules are approximately 80 nucleotides in length. Their secondary structure includes four short double-helical elements and three loops (D, anti-codon, and T loops).
Source: RNAcentral
GCGACAUUAGCUCAGUUGGGUUAAUUAUAAGAGUCGAUACCCAUCUUUUUCCAAGGUAUAGGUCAUCGGUUCGAACCCGAUAUGUCGCUCCA